CCUACGGGCGGCAGCAGUGAGGAAUAUUGGUCAAUGGACGAGAGUCUGAACCAGCCAAGUAGCGUGAAGGAUGACUGCCCUAUGGGUUGUAAACUUCUUUUAUAUGGGAAUAAAACGUUCCACGUGUGGGAUUUUGUAUGUACCAUAUGAAUAAGGACCGGCUAACUCCGUGCCAGCAGCCGCGGUAAUACGGAGGAUCCGAGCGUUAUCCGGAUUUAUUGGGUUUAAAGGGAGCGUAGGUGGAUUGUUAAGUCAGUUGUGAAAGUUUGCGGCUCAACCGUAAAAUUGCAGUUGAAACUGGCAGUCUUGAGUGCGGUAGAGGUAGGCGGAAUUCGUGGUGUAGCGGUGAAAUGCUUAGAUAUCACGAAGAACUCCGAUUGCGAAGGCAGUUCACUGGACUGCAACUGACACUGAGGCUCGAAAGUGUGGGUAUCAAACAGGAUUAGAUACCCCGGUAGUC
This 460-nucleotide ribosomal RNA is filed under the name uncultured bacterium. RNAcentral describes it as "partial 16S ribosomal RNA". It matches the Rfam family "Bacterial small subunit ribosomal RNA", at positions 338 to 795 of the family's 1533-position model. The record is from RNAcentral.